RNAcentral lists this transfer RNA (67 nucleotides) under Bombus asiaticus. RNAcentral describes it as "tRNA-Trp". Lineage: Eukaryota; Metazoa; Arthropoda; Insecta; Hymenoptera; Apidae. The record is from RNAcentral.
AAGAUUUUAAGUUAAUUUAAACUAUUAAUCUUCAAAAUUAAAUAUAUAAAAUUUAUUAUAAAUCUUA